GGCUGCUGUCCAACCCCAUAGCAUGACAAGACUGGGGUAGGUACCAUCCUCCCUGUCCUGCUGGCAUGGCAGGGAUGUUCAGGUGUGGAGCCUGAAGGGAGCUGUGCUCUACAGUGGGACAAGGCUCCUGCUGGUGAACUGCUGGGAGCACCAAACUUCGGAGCAAGAAGCUUGGAGACAAGCUGUCCAGAAGUUAUAUUGGAUUAAUUUGACAGAUACAGAAGAAAUCAGGGGUGAAUCCUGCCAGGUGCUUGGUGCCCCUGAUUCACUCAAGCAGAAGACACUUGUCAUCAUGUUGUCUGGUGCUCAGCAUCUCCACCAGCACAGGCUUUCUGCACAGUUUUUCUCUAAGGUAAACAGACUUAUUGACUAGGCAUUUUCUCAU
This 385-nucleotide long non-coding RNA is filed under the name Chloebia gouldiae (Gouldian finch). RNAcentral's name for it is "Erythrura gouldiae (Gouldian finch) lncRNA (ENSEGOG00005000830.1)". The record is from RNAcentral. Lineage: Eukaryota; Metazoa; Chordata; Aves; Passeriformes; Passeridae.